GAUGGUGUAGGGGCGAAGCACGCGACCAUAUGCAGAGGCUAUAGUCCUCGAAGCGGCUGUCCCGGGUUCGAGUCCCGGACCCA
Molecule: non-coding RNA, 83 nt
Organism: Crenichthys baileyi (White River springfish)
Lineage: Eukaryota; Metazoa; Chordata; Actinopteri; Cyprinodontiformes; Goodeidae
Source: the annotation of a GenBank genome assembly